GGAACAUAAUGUGGAACCGCGCCCAAAUGAACCGAUAUUAAUAACAGAACACAGAGUAGACGAGGAGGUCGAAGAGGUCCCACAAGGACCAAGGCCGGAUUUGCGACGUUAUAUGGAAAGGUUGGUUAGAGAAGAGAGGAGGAAGCAUGCUUGUAUGAGGUGCAAGGAGUUCGGGCACCUCGGGCACCAGUGCCAUCUGCCCUGGGUGGAGUCCAAAGAAACUCCCGAACAUUAUGCAAGAAGAACCAGG
This is a long non-coding RNA of Adelges cooleyi (spruce gall adelgid), 250 nucleotides long. RefSeq lists it as uncharacterized. Lineage: Eukaryota; Metazoa; Arthropoda; Insecta; Hemiptera; Adelgidae. The record is from RefSeq and is a predicted model, not a curated record. The transcript is spliced from 3 exons.